AAUCUUCCACAAUGGGCGAAAGCCUGAUGGAGCAACGCCGCGUGAGUGAAGAAGGUUUUCGGAUCGGAAAACUCUGUUGUAAGGGAAGAACAAGUACAGAAGUAACUGGCUGUCCCUUCACGGUACCUUCUUAGAAAGCAACGGGUAACUACGUGCCAGCCGCCGCGGUAAUACGUAGGUGGCAAGCGAUGGCCGGAAUUGUGGGGCGGAAAGCGCGCGCAGGCGUUCCUUUAAGUCUGAUGUGAAAGCCCACGGCUCAACCGUGGAGGGUCAUUGGGAACUGGGGGACUUGAGUGCAGAAGAGGAAAGUGGAAUUCCAAGUGUAGCGGUGAAAUGCGUAGAGAUUUGGAGGAACACCAGUGGCGAAGGCGACUUUCUGGUCUGUAACUGACGCUGAGGCGCGAAAGCGUGGGGAGCAAACAGG
RNAcentral lists this ribosomal RNA (424 nucleotides) under uncultured bacterium. RNAcentral's name for it is "partial 16S ribosomal RNA". It matches the Rfam family "Bacterial small subunit ribosomal RNA", at positions 360 to 776 of the family's 1533-position model. The record is from RNAcentral.